UGAGCAAUCUGCCCUUCUCAUCGGAAUAAGCGUGGGAAACCGCGUCUAAUGCCGAAUACGACCUCCUUUCGCAUGAUCGGAGGUGGAAAGCUCCGGCGGAGAAGGAUGAGCUCGCGGCCUAUCAGCUAGUUGGUGUGGGUAAUGGCCCACCAAGGCGACGACGGGUAGCCGGCCUGAGGAGGGUGACCGGCCACACUGGGACUGAGACACGGCCCAGACUCCGUACGGGAGCAG
Molecule: ribosomal RNA, 234 nt
Filed under: uncultured bacterium
Lineage: Bacteria
Description: partial 16S ribosomal RNA
Rfam family: Bacterial small subunit ribosomal RNA
Source: RNAcentral